AACUGGCUGUACAAUACUCCACAGGCAUCAGACCCCUGGGUACCCUAAAACACCGUACCGUCACCCUCACACACCGCCCGUCACCCUCAGACACCGCCCGUCACCCUCACACACCGCCCGUCACCCUCACACACCGCCCGUCACCCUCACACAACCGCCCGUCACCCUCACACACCGCCCGUCACCCUCACACACCGCCCAUCACCCUCACACACCGCCCGUCACCCUCACACACCGCCCGUCACCCUCACACACGGCCCGGCACCCUCAAACACGGGCGAGCACCGUCACACAUCUCCCGACACCCUCACAGCCCGACCGGACCCGUAACCCGCCCUUAGUAGGCGGAAUUAUCCGUAAGAGUGCGAUCAUACCCCGUAAGCUCACUUUAAAACGGGUCUGAGGCACGUACACACCGCCCGUCACCCUCACAUACAGCCGGUCACCCUCACCCUCACACACCGCCCGUCACCCUCACACACCGCCCGUCACCCUCACAC
Molecule: ribosomal RNA, 500 nt
Filed under: Gallus gallus (chicken)
Lineage: Eukaryota; Metazoa; Chordata; Aves; Galliformes; Phasianidae
Description: partial 12S ribosomal RNA
Source: RNAcentral